UACAGAGGGUGCAAGCGUUGUUCGGAAUUAUUGGGCGUAAAGCGCGUGUAGGCGGCUUGGCAAGUCGGGUGUGAAAGCCCUGGGCUCAACCCAGGAAGUGCGCCCGAAACUGCCUUGCUUGAGUACCGGAGAGGGUAGCGGAAUUCCCCAAGUAGAGGUGAAAUUCGUAGAUAUGGGGAGGAACACCGGUGGCGAAGGCGGCUACCUGGACGGAUACUGACGCUGAGACGCGAAAGCGUGGGUAGCAAACAGG
Molecule: ribosomal RNA, 253 nt
Filed under: uncultured bacterium
Lineage: Bacteria
Description: partial 16S ribosomal RNA
Rfam family: Bacterial small subunit ribosomal RNA
Source: RNAcentral